RNAcentral lists this ribosomal RNA (630 nucleotides) under uncultured bacterium. RNAcentral's name for it is "bacterial SSU rRNA". It matches the Rfam family "Bacterial small subunit ribosomal RNA", at positions 42 to 647 of the family's 1533-position model. The record is from RNAcentral.
ACAGGCCUAACACAUGCAAGUCGAGCGGUAACAUUUCUAGCUUGCUGGUUGAUGACGAGCGGCGGACGGGUGCGUAACACGUAGGAAUCUGCCCGGUAGUGGGGGAUAGCCCGGAGAAAUCCGGAUUAAUACCGCAUACGCCUUAAGAGGGAAAGCAGGGGACCCGUUUCUUUUAUAAGGAGCGAACCUUGCGCUAUCGGAUGAGCCUGCGUCGGAUUAGCUUGUUGGUGGGGUAAAGGCCUACCAAGGCGACGAUCCGUAGCUGGUCUGAGAGGAUGAUCAGCCACACUGGGACUGAGACACGGCCCAGACUCCUACGGGAGGCAGCAGUGGGGAAUAUUGCACAAUGGGCGCAAGCCUGAUGCAGCCAUGCCGCGUGUGUGAAGAAGGCCCUAGGGUUGUAAAGCACUUUCAGCGAGGAGGAAAGGUUCAAGGUUAAUACCCUUGAGCUGUGACGUUACUCGCAGAAGAAGCACCGGCUAACUCCGUGCCAGCAGCCGCGGUAAUACGGAGGGUGCGAGCGUUAAUCGGAAUUACUGGGCGUAAAGCGUGCGUAGGCGGCUUGUUAAGUUGGAUGUGAAAGCCCCGGGCUUAACCUGGGAACUGCAUCCAAAACUGGCAAGCUAGAGU